GAUGAACGCUGGCGGCGUGCUUAACACAUGCAAGUCGAACGAAGCAUUUAAGACAGAUUCCUUCGGUUUGAAGUCUUUUAUGACUGAGUGGCGGACGGGUGAGUAACGCGUGGGUAACCUGCCUCAUACAGGGGGAUAGCAGCUGGAAACGGCUGGUAAUACCGCAUAAGCGCACAGUACCACAUGGUACAGUGUGAAAAACUCCGGUGGUAUGAGAUGGACCCGCGUCUGAUUAGCUUGUUGGCGGGGUAACGGCCCACCAAGGCGGCGAUCAGUAGCCGACCUGAGAGGGUGACCGGCCACAUUGGGACUGAGACACGGCCCAGACUCCUACGGGAGGCAGCAGUGGGGAAUAUUGCACAAUGGAGGAAACUCUGAUGCAGCGACGCCGCGUGAGUGAAGAAGUAGUUCGCUAUGUAAAGCUCUAUCAGCAGGGAAGAUAGUGACGGUACCUGACUAAGAAGCUCCGGCUAAAUACGUG
RNAcentral lists this ribosomal RNA (481 nucleotides) under uncultured bacterium. Its description in RNAcentral is "partial 16S ribosomal RNA". It matches the Rfam family "Bacterial small subunit ribosomal RNA", at positions 28 to 507 of the family's 1533-position model. The record is from RNAcentral.